AACGAACGCUGGCGGCAUGCCUAACACAUGCAAGUCGAACGAGACCUUCGGGUCUAGUGGCGCACGGGUGCGUAACGCGUGGGAACCUGCCCUUAGGUUCGGAAUAACUCCCCGAAAGGGGUGCUAAUACCGGAUAAUGUCUUCGGACCAAAGAUUUAUCGCCUUUGGAUGGGCCCGCGUUGGAUUAGCUAGUUGGUAGGGUAAAAGCCUACCAAGGCGACGAUCCAUAGCUGGUCUGAGAGGAUGAUCAGCCACACUGGGACUGAGACACGGCCCAGACUCCUACGGGAGGCAGCAGUGGGGAAUAUUGGACAAUGGACGAAAGCCUGAUCCAGCAAUGCCGCGUGAGUGAUGAAGGCCUUAGGGUUGUAAAGCUCUUUUACCCGGGAUGAUAAUGACAGUACCAGGAGAAUAAGCUCCGGCUAACUCCGUG
RNAcentral lists this ribosomal RNA (433 nucleotides) under uncultured bacterium. Its description in RNAcentral is "partial 16S ribosomal RNA". It matches the Rfam family "Bacterial small subunit ribosomal RNA", at positions 29 to 507 of the family's 1533-position model. The record is from RNAcentral.